GACGAACGCUGGCGGCGUGCCUAAUACAUGCAAGUUGAGCGAUGAAGAUUGGUGCUUGCACCAAUUUGAAGAGCAGCGAACGGGUGAGUAACGCGUGGGGAAUCUGCCUUUGAGCGGGGGACAACAUUUGGAAACGAAUGCUAAUACCGCAUAAUAACUUUAAACAUAAGUUUUAAGUUUGAAAGAUGCAAUUGCACCACUCAAAGAUGAUCCCGCGUUGUAUUAGCUAGUUGGUGAGGUAAAGGCUCACCAAGGCGAUGAUACAUAGCCGACCUGAGAGGGGGAUCGGCCAAAUUGGGACUGAGACACGGCCCAAACUCCUACGGGAGGCAGCAGUAGGGAAUCUUCGGCAAUGGACGAAAGUCUGACCGAGCAACGCCGCGUGAGUGAAGAAGGUUUUCGGAUCGUAAAACUCUGUUGGUAGAGAAGAACGUUGGUGAGAGUGGAAAGCUCAUCAAGUGACGGUAACUACCCAGAAAGGGACGGCUAACUACGUG
This 497-nucleotide ribosomal RNA is filed under the name uncultured bacterium. RNAcentral describes it as "partial 16S ribosomal RNA". It matches the Rfam family "Bacterial small subunit ribosomal RNA", at positions 28 to 507 of the family's 1533-position model. The record is from RNAcentral.